This 390-nucleotide ribosomal RNA is filed under the name uncultured bacterium. RNAcentral describes it as "bacterial SSU rRNA". It matches the Rfam family "Bacterial small subunit ribosomal RNA", at positions 28 to 419 of the family's 1533-position model. The record is from RNAcentral.
GACGAACGCUGGCGGCGUGCUUGACACAUGCAAGUCGAGCGGUAAGGCCCUUUCGGGGGUACACGAGCGGCGAACGGGUGAGUAACACGUGGGUGACCUGCCCUCAGCUCUGGGAUAAGCCUGGGAAACCGGGUCUAAUACCGGAUAUGACUCCAUGACGCAUGUUGUGGGGUGGAAAGCCUUGUGCGGCUGAGGAUGGGCCCGCGGCCUAUCAGCUUGUUGGUGGGGUGANGGCCUACCAAGGCGACGACGGGUAGCCGGCCUGAGAGGGCGACCGGCCACACUGGGACUGAGACACGGCCCAGACUCCUACGGGAGGCAGCAGUGGGGAAUCUUGCGCAAUGGGCGAAAGCCUGACGCAGCGACGCCGUGUGAGGGAUGACGGCCUGG